UACAGAGGUCUCAAGCGUUGUUCGGAUUCAUUGGGCGUAAAGGGUGUGUAGGUGGCGCGCUAAGUCGGGUGUGAAAUUUCGGAGCUUAACUCCGAAACUGCAUUCGAUACUGGCGUGCUUGAGGACUGGAGAGGAGACUGGAAUUCAUGGUGCAGCAGUGAAAUGCGUAGAGAUCAUGAGGAAGACCAGUGGCGAAGGCGGGUCUCUGGACAGUUCCUGACACUGAGACACGAAGGCCAGGGGAGCAAACGGG
Molecule: ribosomal RNA, 253 nt
Filed under: uncultured bacterium
Lineage: Bacteria
Description: partial 16S ribosomal RNA
Rfam family: Bacterial small subunit ribosomal RNA
Source: RNAcentral